This 264-nucleotide ribosomal RNA is filed under the name Acinetobacter haemolyticus. RNAcentral describes it as "partial 16S ribosomal RNA". It matches the Rfam family "Bacterial small subunit ribosomal RNA", at positions 1 to 266 of the family's 1533-position model. The record is from RNAcentral. Lineage: Bacteria; Pseudomonadati; Pseudomonadota; Gammaproteobacteria; Moraxellales; Moraxellaceae.
UAAACUGAAGAGUUUGAUCAUGGCUCAGAUUGAACGCUGGCGGCAGGCUUAACACAUGCAAGUCGAGCGGGGGAAGGUAGCUUGCUACCUAACCUAGCGGCGGACGGGUGAGUAAUGCUUAGGAAUCUGCCUAUUAGUGGGGGACAACAUUCCGAAAGGAAUGCUAAUACCGCAUACGUCCUACGGGAGAAAGCAGGGGAUCUUCGGACCUUGCGCUAAUAGAUGAGCCUAAGUCGGAUUAGCUAGUUGGUGGGGUAAAGGCCU